Molecule: long non-coding RNA, 1918 nt
Organism: Strigops habroptila (Kakapo)
Lineage: Eukaryota; Metazoa; Chordata; Aves; Psittaciformes; Psittacidae
Source: Ensembl
UUGGAACAAAGGGAACAAAGGAUUUUCUCCAUUUUUAAUAAAUCAACUGUUACAUUAAAAUUAGUCACAGUUAAAAAAAAAAAAAAGCCAGUUAAAUAGAAACAAAAUGUGCACAUUUUCCAUUUUAGAAAUGGUAAAUGAGAAGAGAACCCUUGGAGAAAAACUUUCUUUUAAAUAGGUGAGAUCUGUUGUAGUUAUCAGUAACUUAAAUUUGAGGCUUGGUGGUUUUAAUGUAAUUUCCCCUUAUAGUAUGAACAAUAAAUAAAUGAGAUAUACCAAACGCAUGAAGUAUUUUUAUAUAUUUGCUAUGAAAAGGCCAUUGUUGCACAAAACACACUCUUUGAUCUUAGUGGAUAUCCAGUAGCUUGCAGUAGGACUGCGGGGGGGGACCCAAAAAUUGCCUUUCUAGGACUAAACUUUGCGCUGAAAGGGAAGAAAUCCAAGCAGCAUCCCUUGUUGGGAGAGUCUCAGACUGAGCUGAAGGGCACGGGCACCAGCACCAGUGUUUCCCCUGUGCCAUCAGAGGAUAAAUCACAGACUAGAUACAGAAAUGAGGUCCAGUGUUUUGUCAGUUGUACUACUGGAGAGAACCAUAGCUCCCUUCGUCUGUCUCACCUCCCCUGCAAAUGAGCAUGUCUCCUUUGUCCUGCCUGGCUGUAAUUUUGCAUGAACAAUGCUUUCCUGAGUUGGUUUGCCAAGAGCAUGUCUGGGGAUAAUCUUUUGAAGCUAAAGUGAUAGGUGGGAUGGAGACCAGAAAGGAAUCUUCCAGCACACAAAAGACACUUGGGUAAGCAGCCUGGGAACAACCCAGUUCAGGACUGCCACUGGUGGCAUGCAAAGCAGUGACUGAUAAAGGAGGUCAGUGUUUUUAAAAUGCUGUAGAUGGAUAUAUAAUUGAAUGUACGACUGCUUGACAUUUUUGUGGAAAAAAUAUCUGCAAUAUACAUAUUCUAGACUGGAUCCUAGUUCUCUUUUUUAGAGCUAUGAAAUCUUCAGACAUAAAAAAAUCUCAGCUGCUUAAGAAUGAAGGAAGGGUUUGCUGUUUUGCUGAAACUUCAGGUUUCUCCUGCUGACUAAACUCCACGAGAGGAAAUCCCAGGGAAGGGGCUGCAGGGGAAAUCACCUGAGGGGGACAGUGUGGCCGGCUCCUGUGCCUAUUAAAUGUUUCUUUUGAGCCCUGGAAUUUCUGCUACGCUUGGUCUGGUUUUAAUAACAGCCUUUGCAGGAUCAUAGGAAAUUGAGUCAGAAAAUGGGUCUGAGAUAUUAAAAGGGGGGGAAAAAUAGUUUUGAGGAAGAGUUCUGGUGGAAACUUGAGCUUCCUCUGUAACUUUUUUUUGAACUGGGGCUCUAUGCUCUGACUGCAGUACCACCAUUUUCUGCAAUGAUUCCUUGAAGUGUCAGGAUCUCUCAGAUCUAGGGAAAUAGUUUAGCUUCCUGAGAAGACAGUUGUAUUUUUAAAGUUCAUCUAGCUUUCCAAAGGAGCUUUUUAUUGCAGCUCCUGUCACUGUCAUGUGGAGCUGAAAAUCCUGACAUGCUUAAGAAAUAUGAGCUUUCUAUUUUUUCCUAUUCUGCCUUAAGAUAAAAAGAUCAUUUUCAGGGGUAAGACUUGGACUGUCCUUUUCCAGUGAGUGGCUGAGCACAUGUCUGAUUUGGAGAAUUGGGCACCUUAUAGUGGGAUACAGCCCUGCCUUUAAGCAAAUCCUUUUUGUUCCUCAGUUCCAUUAGCAUUUAAUCAAAAGAACUGUAGAGAAUUGGUGAGCUCUCGGCAUUUUCUCAUUGUUUCUUGCUUACUGUACAAGGAAAGGAAAAUGGUUAGGGGAGCAGGAAAUAAUUUUCUUCCUUGCUUCUCUCUGAUUCUAAAGCUGUUUUGGGUUAUGUGCUCUGAAUAUUUCUGUAAGGAAACAGAAACUAUUUGCAU